UACGUAGGGGGCAAGCGUUGUCCGGAUUUUCUGGGCGUAAAGAGCGUGUAGGCGGCCAAGCAGGUCCGUUGUGAAAACUGGAGGCUUAACCUCCAGACGUCGACGGAAACCGCGCGGCUAGAGUCCGGAAGAGGAGAGUGGAAUUCCUGGUGUAGCGGUGAAAUGCGCAGAUAUCAGGAAGAACACCAAUGGCGAAGGCAGCUCUCUGGGACGGUACUGACGCUGAGACGCGAAAGCGUGGGGAGCGAACAGG
This 253-nucleotide ribosomal RNA is filed under the name uncultured bacterium. RNAcentral describes it as "partial 16S ribosomal RNA". It matches the Rfam family "Bacterial small subunit ribosomal RNA", at positions 524 to 776 of the family's 1533-position model. The record is from RNAcentral.